AACGAACGCUGGCGGCGUGGAUAAGACAUGCAAGUCGAACGGGAGUUUAUUUAUAGCAAUAUGAGUGAACUCUAGUGGCGAAAGGGUGCGUAACACGUAGCUACCUACCUCGAAGUUGGGGAUAGCUCGGCGAAAGCCGGAUUAAUACCGAAUGUGAUCGUGAGAUUAAAGCUGGGGAUCGUAAGACCUGGCGCUUUGAGAUGGGGCUGCGGCC
RNAcentral lists this ribosomal RNA (214 nucleotides) under uncultured bacterium. RNAcentral's name for it is "partial 16S ribosomal RNA". It matches the Rfam family "Bacterial small subunit ribosomal RNA", at positions 29 to 238 of the family's 1533-position model. The record is from RNAcentral.